RNAcentral lists this ribosomal RNA (439 nucleotides) under uncultured bacterium. RNAcentral describes it as "partial 16S ribosomal RNA". It matches the Rfam family "Bacterial small subunit ribosomal RNA", at positions 339 to 795 of the family's 1533-position model. The record is from RNAcentral.
CUACGGGCCGCAGCAGUGGGGAAUAUUGGACAAUGGAGGAAACUCUGAUGCAGCAACGCCGCGUGGAGGAUGACACUUUUCGGAGCGUAAACUCCUUUUAUAUAGGAAGAUAAUGACGGUACUAUAUGAAUAAGCACCGGCUAACUCCGUGCCAGCAGCCGCGGUAAUACGGAGGGUGCAAGCGUUACUCGGAAUCACUGGGCGUAAAGAGCGUGUAGGCGGGUUAAUAAGUCAGAAGUGAAAUCCUAUGGCUCAACCAUAGAACUGCUUUUGAAACUGUUAACCUAGAGUGUGGGAGAGGUAGAUGGAAUUUCUGGUGUAGGGGUAAAAUCCGUAGAGAUCAGAAGGAAUACCGAUUGCGAAGGCGAUCUACUGGAACAUAACUGACGCUGAGACGCGAAAGCGUGGGGAGCAAACAGGAUUAGAUACCCCCGUAGUC